UACGGAGGGUGCAAGCGUUAUCCGGAUUCACUGGGUUUAAAGGGUGCGUAGGUGGGUUGGUAAGUCAGUGGUGAAAUCUCCAGGCUUAACUUGGAAACUGCCAUUGAUACUAUCAAUCUUGAAUACCGUGGAGGUCAGCGGAAUAUGUCAUGUAGCGGUGAAAUGCGUAGAUAUCGUAAGGAAGACCAGUGGCGAAGGCGGGUCUCUGGACAGUUCCUGACGCUGAGGCACGAAGGCCAGGGGAGCAAACGGG
Molecule: ribosomal RNA, 253 nt
Filed under: uncultured bacterium
Lineage: Bacteria
Description: partial 16S ribosomal RNA
Rfam family: Bacterial small subunit ribosomal RNA
Source: RNAcentral